UGAGUAACCUGCCCUUAACUCUGGGAUAAGCCUGGGAAACUGGGUCUAAUACCGGAUAGGAGCGUCCACCGCAUGGUGGGUGUUGGAAAGAUUUAUCGGUUUUGGAUGGACUCGCGGCCUAUCAGCUUGUUGGUGAGGUAAUGGCUCACCAAGGCGACGACGGGUAGCCGGCCUGAGAGGGUGACCGGCCACACUGGGACUGAGACACGGCCCAGACUCCUACGGGAGGCAGCAGUGGGGAAUAUUGCACAAUGGGCGAAAGCCUGAUGCAGCGACGCCGCGUGAGGGAUGACGGCCUUCGGGUUGUAAACCUCUUUCAGUAGGGAAGAAGCGAAAGUGACGGUACCUGCAGAAGAAGCACCGGCUAACUACGUGCCAGCAGCCGCGGUAAUACGUAGGGUGCGAGCGUUAUCCGGAAUUAUUGGGCGUAAAGAGCUCGUAGGCGGUUUGUCGCGUCUGUCGUGAAAGUCCGGGGCUUAACCCCGGAUCUGCGGUGGGUACGGGCAGACUAGAGUGCAGUAGGGGAGACUGGAAUUCCUGGUGUAGCGGUGGAAUGCGCAGAUAUCAGGAGGAACACCGAUGGCGAAGGCAGGUCUCUGGGCUGUAACUGACGCUGAGGAGCGAAAGCAUGGGGAGCGAACAGGAUUAGAUACCCUGGUAGUCCAUGCCGUAAACGUUGGGCACUAGGUGUGGGGACCAUUCCACGGUUUCCGCGCCGCAGCUAACGCAUUAAGUGCCCCGCCUGGGGAGUACGGCCGCAAGGCUAAAACUCAAAGGAAUUGACGGGGGGCCCGCACAAGCGG
The sequence is a ribosomal RNA, 803 nucleotides long. It matches the Rfam family "Bacterial small subunit ribosomal RNA", at positions 118 to 932 of the family's 1533-position model.